RNAcentral lists this ribosomal RNA (371 nucleotides) under uncultured organism. RNAcentral's name for it is "bacterial SSU rRNA". It matches the Rfam family "Bacterial small subunit ribosomal RNA", at positions 526 to 896 of the family's 1533-position model. The record is from RNAcentral.
CGGAGGGUGCAAGCGUUGUCCGGAUUCACUGGGUUUAAAGGGUGUGUAGGCGGAUAUUUAAGUCAGUGGUGAAAUCUCCAGGCUCAACCUGGAAACUGCCAUUGAUACUAUUUAUCUUGAAUUCUGUUGAGGGUGGGCGGAAUACAUCAUGUAGCGGUGAAAUGCUUAGAUAUGAUGUAGAACACCGAUUGCGAACGGCAGCUCACUAAGCAGACAUUGACGCUGAGGGCACGAAAGCGUGGGGAUCAAACAGGAUUAGAUACCCUGGUAGUCCACGCCCUAAACGAUGAUUACUCGACAUACGCGAUACACAGUGUGUGUCUGAGCGAAAGCAUUAAGUAAUCCACCUGGGAAGUACGACCGCAAGGUUG